RNAcentral lists this ribosomal RNA (951 nucleotides) under Devriesia sp. ZWY-2014b. RNAcentral describes it as "eukaryotic LSU rRNA". It matches the Rfam family "Eukaryotic large subunit ribosomal RNA", at positions 1 to 982 of the family's 3401-position model. The record is from RNAcentral. Lineage: Eukaryota; Fungi; Ascomycota; Dothideomycetes; Mycosphaerellales; Teratosphaeriaceae.
AUUGGAUCAGGUAGGAAUACCCGCUGAACUUAAGCAUAUCAAUAAGCGGAGGAAAAGAAACCAACAGGGAUUGCCCUAGUAACGGCGAGUGAAGCGGCAACAGCUCAAAUUUGAAAUCUGGCGCAAGCCCGAGUUGUAAUUUGUAGAGGAUGCUUCUGGGCAGCGGCCGGUCUAAGUUCCUUGGAACAGGACGUCAUAGAGGGUGAGAAUCCCGUAUGUGACCGGCUGGCACCCUCCACGUAGCUCCUUCGACGAGUCGAGUUGUUUGGGAAUGCAGCUCUAAAUGGGAGGUAAAUUUCUUCUAAAGCUAAAUACCGGCCAGAGACCGAUAGCGCACAAGUAGAGUGAUCGAAAGAUGAAAAGCACUUUGGAAAGAGAGUUAAAAAGCACGUGAAAUUGUUGAAAGGGAAGCGCUUGCGACCAGACUUGUCGGCGGUGUUCCGCCGGUCUUCUGACCGGUUCACUCGCCGUCGGCAGGCCAGCAUCAUCUGGGGCCGCCGGAUAAAGGCUUGGGGAAUGUAGCUCCCUUCGGGGAGUGUUAUAGCCCCUUGCACAAUACGGCGCGCCCCGGGUGAGGUCCGCGUCUCGGCAAGGAUGCUGGCGUAAUGGUCGUAAGCGGCCCGUCUUGAAACACGGACCAAGGAGUCGAUUAUCUAUGCGAGUGUUCGGGCGUCAAACCCCUACGCGUAAUGAAAGUGAACGGAGGUGGGAACCCUUAGGGUGCACCAUCGACCGAUCCGGAUGUCUUCGGAUGGAUUUGAGUAAGAGCAUAGCUAAUCGGACCCGAAAGAUGGUGAACUAUGCCUGAAUAGGGUGAAGCCAGAGGAAACUCUGGUGGAGCUCGCAGCGGUUCUGACGUGCAAAUCGAUCGUCAAAUUUGGGUAUAGGGGGCGAAAGACUAAUCGAACCAUCUAGUAGCUGGUUCCCUGCCGAAGUUUCCCUCAGGAAAUC